Molecule: ribosomal RNA, 253 nt
Filed under: uncultured bacterium
Lineage: Bacteria
Description: partial 16S ribosomal RNA
Rfam family: Bacterial small subunit ribosomal RNA
Source: RNAcentral
UACGUAGGGGGCUAGCGUUGUCCGGAAUCAUUGGGCGUAAAGCGCGUGUAGGCGGUCCGGUAAGUCCGCUGUGAAAGUCGGGGGCUCAACCCUCGGAUGCCGGUGGAUACUGUCGGGCUCGAGUACGGAAGAGGCGAGUGGAAUUCCUGGUGUAGCGGUGAAAUGCGCAGAUAUCAGGAGGAACACCAAUUGCGAAGGCAGCUCGCUGGGACGUAACUGACGCUGAGACGCGAAAGCGUGGGGAGCAAACAGG